This 765-nucleotide ribosomal RNA is filed under the name uncultured bacterium. RNAcentral's name for it is "bacterial SSU rRNA". It matches the Rfam family "Bacterial small subunit ribosomal RNA", at positions 10 to 749 of the family's 1533-position model. The record is from RNAcentral.
AGUUUGAUCCUGGCUCAGAACGAACGCUGGCGGCGUGCUUAACACAUGCAAGUCGAACGCGAAAGUAGACUUCGGUUUACGAGUAGAGUGGCGCACGGGUGAGUAACGCGUAAGUAAUCUACCCUUUUAUCUGGGAUAACAGUGGGAAACCGCUGCUAAUACCGGAUACGGUCUAUUUGUCGCAGGGCAGAUAGAAGAAAGGUGGCCUCUGAUUCAAGCUACCGUAGAAGGACGAGCUUGCGUACCAUUAGCUAGUUGGUGGGGUAAAGGCUUACCAAGGCUACGAUGGUUAGCGGGUCUGAGAGGAUGAUCCGCCACACUGGAACUGGAACACGGACCAGACUCCUACGGGAGGCAGCAGUGAGGAAUAUUGCGCAAUGGGGGAAACCCUGACGCAGCGACGCCGCGUGAGUGAAGAAGGCCUUCGGGUCGUAAAGCUCUGUCUAGUGGGAAGAAAUGUCAGAUGGUUAAUACCCAUUUGAUUUGACGGUACCACUGAAGGAAGCACCGGCUAACUCCGUGCCAGCAGCCGCGGUAACACGGAGGGUGCAAGCGUUGUUCGGAAUUACUGGGCGUAAAGGGCGCGUAGGCGGCCAAUUAAGUCAGGUGUGAAAGCCCACGGCUCAACCGUGGAUGGUCAUCUGAAACUGGUUGGCUUGAGUAUCGGAGAGGAAAGUGGAAUUCCCGGUGUAGAGGUGAAAUUCGUAGAUAUCGGGAGGAACACCAGUAGCGAAAGGCGACUUUCUGGCCGAAUACUGACGCUGA